GAAAGGGGUGCUAAUACCUGAUACGAUGCGAGUUUCAUAUGGAGUUCGCAUGAAAGGUGACCUCUUCCUUGAAAGUUGCCGCUCGAAGAUGAGCCCGCGUCCCAUUAGCUUGUUGGUGGGGUAAUGGCCUACCAAGGCUCAGAUGGGUAGCUGGUCUGAGAGGAUGAUCAGCCACACUGGAACUGAGACACGGUCCAGACUCCUACGGGAGGCAGCAGUGGGGAAUAUUGCGCAAUGGGGGAAACCCUGACGCAGCAACGCCGCGUGAGUGAUGAAGGCCUUCGGGUCGUAAAGCUCUGUCAGGUGGGAAGAACAUGGGAAGUUCCAAUACAACUUCUCUUUGACGGUACCACCAGAGGAAGCACCGGCUAACUCCGUGCCAGCAGCCGCGGUAAUACGGAGGGUGCAAGCGUUGUUCGGAAUCACUGGGCGUAAAGCGCGUGUAGGCGGCCCAUUAAGUCAGAUGUGAAAGCCCUCGGCUCAACCAAGGAACUGCAUCUGAAACUGGUAGGCUUGAGUACGGGAGAGGAGAGUGGAAUUCCCGGUGUA
This 549-nucleotide ribosomal RNA is filed under the name uncultured bacterium. Its description in RNAcentral is "bacterial SSU rRNA". It matches the Rfam family "Bacterial small subunit ribosomal RNA", at positions 153 to 677 of the family's 1533-position model. The record is from RNAcentral.